RNAcentral lists this ribosomal RNA (468 nucleotides) under uncultured bacterium. Its description in RNAcentral is "partial 16S ribosomal RNA". It matches the Rfam family "Bacterial small subunit ribosomal RNA", at positions 28 to 507 of the family's 1533-position model. The record is from RNAcentral.
GACGAACGCUGGCGGCGUGCUUAACACAUGUAAGUCGAACGGAAAGGCCCUGCUUUUGUGGGGUGCUCGAGUGGCGAACGGGUGAGUAACACGUGAGUAACCUGCCCUUGACUUUGGGAUAACUUCAGGAAACUGGGGCUAAUACCGGAUAGGAGCUCCUGCUGCAUGGUGGGGGUUGGAAAGUUUCGGCGGUUGGGGAUGGACUCGCGGCUUAUCAGCUUGUUGGUGGGGUAGUGGCUUACCAAGGCUUUGACGGGUAGCCGGCCUGAGAGGGUGACCGGCGACAUGGGGACUACGAUACGGACCAGAGUGCUACGUGAGGCAGCAGUCGGGAAUAUUGCACAAUGGGCGGACGUCUGAUGCGGCAACGCCGCGGGCGUGAUGACGGCCUGCGGGUUGUAAACCGCUGUCGCCUGUGACGAAGCGUGAGUGACGGUAAUGGGUAAAGAAGCACCGGCUAACUACGUG